GCCGCUUUGCGUCGUACGUCGCUGGGUGCGACCCCCGCUUCGUCCAGCCUCGGACGGUUCCUGAUCGCCUCUUCGAAUCCACGCUCGUCCGUUUGAAUCCCUAACCACCCGUCCGCUUCAAACGACCGAUAAUCUCGGCCCCCUACCGUACCACGCUCCGCCACCAGAAAUCAUAAAGCCAGCACCGGUUGUGCGACGGACGCGCCGCCGCUCUGUCCCCUACGCAGCAGCGCAAGCACGCCGGAGAAGAAGACAGCCGCCACGGCACCUUCAGCCACCGAAUUGGAGCGCUACAACAUCCGUUUUGCCGCACCCCGCCGCCGCCUGCCGUCCGCGGGAACAUCGCCGCCACGAGCAGCUCCCGAACCCGGCGCCGGCGAUAGGAUUUCGUCCGUCCCCGUCCUGGUCCGCCGUGGGUGAGCACAUCCCUGAGUUCCCUUCGCCCUGAUCUUCCUUUCCCCCACCUCCUCUCUCCUCCCCUGCAAUCCACCCUCCCAAAUCGCCGGCCUGCGCGCUCUGGCGCCGCCGCUCCUGCGCACAUCCGACUGGGACCUCUCCCCGCCGCGCCCCUGUGCACCGCGCGGCCCCCGGCGAGGAUCACCAUCAGCAUCAGGAACGCCUCAAAGGUGGCCCGCAUCACCUCUCGCACCGCCACCGGCUGCGCCCGGUCCUUCAGCACCAACACAAGGUGACCAGGAACGAUAGGUUCUGCUUCAGCAGCCGGAGCGCCGGGCAGAUGCGCGCGUCGCCCACGCCGCGGGCGUAGAGGCCCUGGUAAAGGGAGUUCCGCGAGUCAAGGAAGAUGAGCCGGAGCGCGAUGACCUCGGCCACGGCGAAGGAGGACGAGGACGAGAGCGAGGCGUCGAAGGCCUUGAUGUGGGUGAGCAUGUAGCGGAGUGUGUUGAGGUGGACGUAGAUCCGCUGCGUGCCUCGGUUGAUGGACGGCCGCGGGAUGUGGUGCGAGCCGCGCGCCGCCGCGUGGGCUGCCCUCCAGGCUCUGGCGCCUGGCACGUCGGCAGCGCCGCCUUCUUCCACAGCCGGAAGAAGCUCGAGUCCUGGUUGCACCUCUUGUCAGCGGCGGCAGCGGAGAGAGGUAGCUGUGAUUCGACCCUGUCGGACGCUAUGCAUGUGCCCCCCUUGUGCUUGAUUGAUUGUGUCACUGGUGUCGCUGUUGAUGUUGUUUGCUCCGCUGCUGUACCGUUUCAUUGUUUGUGCCCGCAAAACAUUUGAUGAAAUGCCUUAAUCUUGCCUAUGUGUUGUGUGAGGUCUGGCCAAAGGAGAAAGGUAGAAACGUACGGACAAGUGAAUGCGUGAAAUACUAAAAUGCAAUUUAGAUUGCUCA
This is a long non-coding RNA of Panicum virgatum (switchgrass), 1342 nucleotides long. RefSeq lists it as uncharacterized. Lineage: Eukaryota; Viridiplantae; Streptophyta; Magnoliopsida; Poales; Poaceae. The transcript is spliced from 2 exons. The record is from RefSeq and is a predicted model, not a curated record.